RNAcentral lists this ribosomal RNA (496 nucleotides) under uncultured bacterium. RNAcentral describes it as "partial 16S ribosomal RNA". It matches the Rfam family "Bacterial small subunit ribosomal RNA", at positions 29 to 507 of the family's 1533-position model. The record is from RNAcentral.
AUGAACGCUGGCGGCGUGCCUAAUACAUGCCAGUCGAGCGAACGGACGAGAAGCUUGCUUCUCUGAUGUUAGCGGCGGACGGGUGAGUAACACGUGGAUAACCUACCUAUAAGACUGGGAUAACUUCGGGAAACCGGAGCUAAUACCGGAUAAUAUUUUGAACCGCAUGGUUCAAAAGUGAAAGACGGUCUUGCUGUCACUUAUAGAUGGAUCCGCGCUGCAUUAGCUAGUUGGUAAGGUAACGGCUUACCAAGGCAACGAUGCAUAGCCGACCUGAGAGGGUGAGCGGGCACACUGGAACUGAGACACGGUCCAGACUCCUACGGGAGGCAGCAGUAGGGAAUCUUACGCAAUGGGCGAAAGCCUGAAGGAGCAACGCCGCGUGAGUGAUGAAGGUCUUCGGAUCGUAAAACUCUGUUAUUAGGGAAGAACAUAUGUGUAAGUAACUGUGCACAUCUUGACGGUACCUAAUCAGAAAGCCACGGCUAACUACGUG